GGGCCAGUAGCUUAGCUUGGUUGGAGCACCCGGCUGAUAACCGGGAGGUCGAGAGUUCGAAUCUCUCCUGGCCCA
Molecule: transfer RNA, 75 nt
Filed under: Thermoplasmatales archaeon SG8-52-2
Lineage: Archaea; Methanobacteriati; Thermoplasmatota; Thermoplasmata; Thermoplasmatales
Also listed under: 1 other name
Description: tRNA-Ile
Rfam family: tRNA
About the family: Transfer RNA (tRNA) molecules are approximately 80 nucleotides in length. Their secondary structure includes four short double-helical elements and three loops (D, anti-codon, and T loops).
Source: RNAcentral